UACAGAGGUCUCAAGCGUUGUUCGGAUUCAUUGGGCGUAAAGGGUGCGUAGGCGGCGCGGUAAGUCGGGUGUGAAAUCUCGGGGCUUAACUCCGAAACUGCAUUCGAUACUGCCGUGCUUGAGGACUGGAGAGGAGACUGGAAUUUACGGUGUAGCAGUGAAAUGCGUAGAUAUCGAGAGGAACACCGGUGGCGAAGGCGGCGAUCUGGACGGUGACUGACGCUGAGACGCGAAAGCGUGGGGAGCAAACAGG
This 253-nucleotide ribosomal RNA is filed under the name uncultured prokaryote. RNAcentral's name for it is "partial 16S ribosomal RNA". It matches the Rfam family "Bacterial small subunit ribosomal RNA", at positions 524 to 776 of the family's 1533-position model. The record is from RNAcentral.